RNAcentral lists this ribosomal RNA (494 nucleotides) under uncultured bacterium. RNAcentral's name for it is "bacterial SSU rRNA". It matches the Rfam family "Bacterial small subunit ribosomal RNA", at positions 43 to 523 of the family's 1533-position model. The record is from RNAcentral.
CAGGCCUAACACAUGCAAGUCAAGGGGAAAGUUUUGCUCGGCGGAGCGAGUAUACUGGCGGACGGGUGAGUAACGCGUAGGCAACCGCCCUUACGGAUGGGAUAACCCAGCGAAAGUUGGACUAAUACCGUAUAAGCGACUGUACUACCCUGGUAUAGUUGUCAAAGGUUGCUUUUCGGAGCAACGCGUAAGGAUGGGCCUGCGUUCCAUUAGCUAGUUGGUGAGGUAACGGCCACCAAGGCGACGAUGGAUAGCUGGUUUGAGAGAGUGAUCAGCCACACUGGACUGAGAUACGGCCCAGACUCCUACGGGAGCCAGCAGUGAGGAAUAUGCGCAGUGGAGGGAACUCUGACGCAGCAACGCCGCGUGGGGGAUGAAGUCUAUGGAGUGUAAACCCCUGUAAGUAGGGACGAAAGUUAUAUAUUCGAAAGGGUAUAUAUAUGACGGUACCUACAGAGUAAGCUCCGGCUAACUCCGUCCAGCAGCCGCGGUAA